Long non-coding RNA from Cucumis melo (muskmelon), 493 nucleotides. RefSeq lists it as uncharacterized. The transcript is spliced from 3 exons. The record is from RefSeq and is a predicted model, not a curated record. Lineage: Eukaryota; Viridiplantae; Streptophyta; Magnoliopsida; Cucurbitales; Cucurbitaceae.
AUUAGGGUAAUGGAAGCGACCAACUUUCUAAUGCUACCAAUGAUCAAGUGGUUAACAAUGUUGCUACUAACUCGAUUGGAACUUCACCUCUGAGUAUUAAUAACAACAAUACUCUCCGCAAGUGCACAUUGCUAGAUUGGGGUGGUACAGGAGAGGUGGUUUAUGAAGGUUGAUGGUCCUCAAAUGAUCCUAAAGUUACUGUUCACCAUGUUCCUCUCGGUCCAUAUGCUGUUAGAGUUUGGGUAGACUUUCCAAACAAGUCGGUUGCAUUUUUAUGGAGACCUAACUCAGAAAUGACAUACAUUGAGGAUGUUGUUGGAAGCACAGUAGCAUGGCCUCUUGACAAAGUUAUUUUAAGUCGAUAAAAGAACAAUUGUACAAAGCCCAAGAAUGUCAUUACCAAGACACAACAAGCUUCAAGUAUUUAGAUUUGUAUCCUAUUAUCUUUCUGGAACUAAUGUGUAGGUUGAUCAUUGUAUUGGGUUGAAUGAUA